This 328-nucleotide unclassified non-coding RNA is filed under the name soil metagenome. RNAcentral describes it as "partial contains 5.8S ribosomal RNA, internal transcribed spacer 2, and large subunit ribosomal RNA". The stretch from base 1 to 120 matches the Rfam family "5.8S ribosomal RNA", at positions 35 to 154 of the family's 154-position model. The record is from RNAcentral.
GAUGAAGAACGCAGCGAAAUGCGAUAAGUAGUGUGAAUUGCAGAAUUCAGUGAAUCAUCGAAUCUUUGAACGCACAUUGCGCCCCUUGGUAUCCCGAGGGGCAUGCCUGUUCGAGCGUCAUUUCACCACUCAAGCCUGGCUUGGUGUUGGGCGACGUCCUCUUUGGGGACGCGCCUCGAAACGCUCGGCGGCGUGGCACCGGCUUUAAGCGUAGCAGAAUCUUUCGCUUUGGAAGUCGGGGCCCCGUCUGCCGGAAGACCUACUCGCAAGGUUGACCUCGGAUCAGGCAGGGAUACCCGCUGAACUUAAGCAUAUCAAUAAGCGGAGA